GACGAACGCUGGCGGCGUGCCUAAUACAUGCAAGUCGAGCGAAGUUUUUCUGGUGCUUGCACUAGAAAAACUUAGCGGCGAACGGGUGAGUAACACGUAAAGAACCUGCCUCAUAGACUGGGACAACUAUUGGAAACGAUAGCUAAUACCGGAUAACAGCAUUAACUGCAUGGUUGAUGUUUAAAAGUUGGUUUUGCUAACACUAUGAGAUGGCUUUGCGGUGCAUUAGCUAGUUGGUGGGGUAAAGGCCUACCAAGGCGACGAUGCAUAGCCGACCUGAGAGGGUGAACGGCCACACUGGGACUGAGACACGGCCCAGACUCCUACGGGAGGCAGCAGUAGGGAAUCUUCCGCAAUGGGCGAAAGCCUGACGGAGCAACGCCGCGUGAGUGAAG
RNAcentral lists this ribosomal RNA (395 nucleotides) under Gemella morbillorum. Its description in RNAcentral is "bacterial SSU rRNA". It matches the Rfam family "Bacterial small subunit ribosomal RNA", at positions 28 to 410 of the family's 1533-position model. The record is from RNAcentral. Lineage: Bacteria; Bacillati; Bacillota; Bacilli; Caryophanales; Gemellaceae.